Molecule: transfer RNA, 72 nt
Filed under: Oryzias latipes (Japanese medaka)
Lineage: Eukaryota; Metazoa; Chordata; Actinopteri; Beloniformes; Adrianichthyidae
Rfam family: tRNA
About the family: Transfer RNA (tRNA) molecules are approximately 80 nucleotides in length. Their secondary structure includes four short double-helical elements and three loops (D, anti-codon, and T loops).
Source: Rfam by way of RNAcentral
AGGUUGGUGGUGCAGUGGUUAGCACUUUCACCUCACAGUGAGAAGGCCCUGGUUCAAGUCCUGGCUGGUUUU